AUUGAACGCUGGCGGCAGGCUUAACACAUGCAAGUCGAGCGGGGUGAUGGUGCUUGCACUAUCACUUAGCGGCGGACGGGUGAGUAAUGCUUAGGAAUCUGCCUAUUAGUGGGGGACAACAUCUCGAAAGGGAUGCUAAUACCGCAUACGUCCUACGGGAGAAAGCAGGGGAUCACUUGUGACCUUGCGCUAAUAGAUGAGCCUAAGUCGGAUUAGCUAGUUGGUGGGGUAAAGGCCUACCAAGGCGACGAUCUGUAGCGGGUCUGAGAGGAUGAUCCUCCACACUGGGACUGAGACACGGCCCAGACUCCUACGGGAGGCAGCAGUGGGGAAUAUUGGACAAUGGGGGGAACCCUGAUCUAGCCAUGCCGCGUGUAUGAAGAAGGCCUUAUGGUUGUAAAGCACUUUAAGCGAGGAGGAGGCUCUUUUGGUUAAUACCCAAGAUGAGUGGACGUUACUCGCAGAAUAAGCACCGGCUAACUCUGUGCCAGCCGCCGCCGUAA
This 503-nucleotide ribosomal RNA is filed under the name uncultured bacterium. RNAcentral's name for it is "partial 16S ribosomal RNA". It matches the Rfam family "Bacterial small subunit ribosomal RNA", at positions 30 to 523 of the family's 1533-position model. The record is from RNAcentral.